UAACACAUGCAGUCGAGCGGGAGAGAGAGGCUUGUUUCUCUUGAGAGCGGCGGACGGGUGAGUAAUGCCUAGGAAUCUGCCUGGUAGUGGGGGAUAACGUUCGGAAACGAACGCUAAUACCGCAUACGUCCUACGGGAGAAAGCAGGGGACCUUCGGGCCUUGCGCUAUCAGAUGAGCCUAGGUCGGAUUAGCUAGUUGGUGAGGUAAUGGCUCACCAAGGCGACGAUCCGUAACUGGUCUGAGAGGAUGAUCAGUCACACUGGAACUGAGACACGGUCCAGACUCCUACGGGAGGCAGCAGUGGGGAAUAUUGGACAAUGGGCGAAAGCCUGAUCCAGCCAUGCCGCGUGUGUGAAGAAGGUCUUCGGAUUGUAAAGCACUUUAAGUUGGGAGGAAGGGCAGUUACCUAAUACGUGAUUGUUUUGACGUUACCGACAGAAUAAGCACCGGCUAACUCUGUGCCAGCAGCCGCGGUAAUACAGAGGGUGCAAGCGUUAAUCGGAAUUACUGGGCGUAAAGCGCGCGUAGGUGGUUGUUAGUUGAUGUAAAAUCCCCGGGCUCAACCUGGGACU
RNAcentral lists this ribosomal RNA (573 nucleotides) under bacterium tet-w-36. RNAcentral's name for it is "bacterial SSU rRNA". It matches the Rfam family "Bacterial small subunit ribosomal RNA", at positions 49 to 621 of the family's 1533-position model. The record is from RNAcentral.